This 103-nucleotide transfer RNA is filed under the name Sphingosinicella soli. RNAcentral's name for it is "tRNA-Ser". The record is from RNAcentral. Lineage: Bacteria; Pseudomonadati; Pseudomonadota; Alphaproteobacteria; Sphingomonadales; Sphingosinicellaceae.
GCGGAAAUCUGGGAACGGCUAUAACAUCAAUGAGGCAGGAAAAUAGAUGCUACCUACCUUGCCAAGGUUGGGGUCGAGAGUUCGAAUCCCUUCGCCCGCUCCA